RNAcentral lists this ribosomal RNA (737 nucleotides) under uncultured bacterium. RNAcentral describes it as "bacterial SSU rRNA". It matches the Rfam family "Bacterial small subunit ribosomal RNA", at positions 643 to 1378 of the family's 1533-position model. The record is from RNAcentral.
AGAGUAUGGUAGAGGAAUGGGGAAUUUCUGGUGUAGCGGUGAAAUGCGUAGAGAUCAGAAGGAACACCAAUGGCGAAGGCAACAUUCUGGACCAAUACUGACACUGAGGGACGAAAGCGUGGGGAUCAAACAGGAUUAGAUACCCUGGUAGUCCACGCUGUAAACGAUGAGUACUAGCUGUUGGAUUCGGUGUAAAGGAUCUAGUGGCGUAGCUAACGCGUUAAGUACUCCGCCUGGGGACUACGGCCGCAAGGCUAAAACUCAAAGGAAUUGACGGGGACCCGCACAAGCGGUGGAGCAUGUGGUUUAAUUCGAUGCAACGCGAAGAACCUUACCUGGUCUUGACAUCCUGCGAACUUUCUAGAGAUAGAUUGGUGCCUUCGGGAACGCAGUGACAGGUGCUGCACGGCUGUCGUCAGCUCGUGUUGUGAAAUGUUGGGUUAAGUCCCGCAACGAGCGCAACCCCUAUUGAUAGUUACCAUCAUUAAGUUGGGUACUCUAUUGAGACUGCCGCUGACAAGGCGGAGGAAGGUGGGGACGACGUCAAGUCAUCAUGGCCCUUACGACCAGGGCUACACACGUGCUACAAUGGGUAUUACAGAGGGCAGCGAAGUAGCGAUAUGGAGCGAAACUCAGAAAGGUACUCUUAGUCCGGAUUGCAGUCUGCAACUCGACUGCAUGAAGUCGGAAUCGCUAGUAAUCGCAGGUCAGAAUACUGCGGUGAAUACGCUCCCGGG